AGGGGGACCAGCCACACUGGCGAUGGCCAGCUCUGGAGCCUUGAAUUCAGCUCCCGCAGUAACCAGGGAGCUCUCAGUCUGCAGGGGCCUGGAUGCUCCGGGGGUGG
RNAcentral lists this microRNA precursor (107 nucleotides) under Canis lupus familiaris (dog). Its description in RNAcentral is "mir-8834 microRNA precursor family". It matches the Rfam family "mir-8834 microRNA precursor family". RNAcentral also lists the same sequence under 1 other name. The record is from Rfam by way of RNAcentral. Lineage: Eukaryota; Metazoa; Chordata; Mammalia; Carnivora; Canidae.